CGGUCAGGCCAUGAGUCGGUACACGAGAAGCCAAACGAUGGCAUUGAUCGGGGACACACGGUGGGCAUAGUUGGGAUAAGAACGCAAACACGACGUCCCCCUCUCGUCGUUCGGGUUUGCGUUAGACGGCGUGCUUGCGCCAACGGUUGGUCUAGGCCAUUUGGGUCCCGUUGGGUUGGCUUUGAGUUGAUGGGUGAUUUCUUGAUCGAUAUCCGAUGUGCGAUUGAUUGGACGUUUUGCUAGCAACCAAACGUCUGUACGAUAUAGAUCAACAAGUGUGCAUUAAGGCAUCGGUUACGAGCUAACGAGCGACUUGUUGAUCUACAUCGUGCUGUGCGAUUGAUUGUCUAAGCUCGGUUAGCAACCAAGCAUUGGUAUGAUAUGGAUCAAGACGUGUGCAUCGACACAUGUUGGUUUCGUUGUUUUUUUUUUUGGUACUUUCGCAUCGUUCAGUGCAUUUUGGGGACUGUUUUGGCUUUUGGUUGCUUGCUUGGCUUUUUGCCGAGUGGGUGGCUUCUAGUUGGGCGGUUUUCGGGAAUGUCUACUGGGAAGGUGCAUGAGUGGUGUUUGGUUUGUUACGGGUGGUUGGCUGUUUGCUUGCGCAACAACGUCCAUGCGUGCAUACCUCUUCAGUUUUGCGGCAAGGCUUUGAUUGUCUUGAUCGUAUUGGGGGUUUCUUGUGUUGCAUACCUAAUUGAUGGUAAUGUGUUGGUUUUAUGAUGUCCCUUUUCGUCAUGCGUCGCUCAUGUGGUGUGGGAUGAACAAUGAAACGAUCUUUGUGAUCCACAUUGUUGUUGCAUUAGCAACAAUGAUGUGGCCUAUGAAGCAUCGUUUGGUCUCUUGUAUACGGAACCUGAUGUGGGCAUGGGUCUUGUAAGAUCCUCAAUUUGCCCUUGUUAAGCGUUCUCGCUUCUCCAAAACGAUUGUCUGCCAUGUCUUGGCUUGUCCUUACAUGGUAGGNUACGUCGA
This 969-nucleotide unclassified non-coding RNA is filed under the name Callicephalus nitens. RNAcentral describes it as "external transcribed spacer". The record is from RNAcentral. Lineage: Eukaryota; Viridiplantae; Streptophyta; Magnoliopsida; Asterales; Asteraceae.